Molecule: ribosomal RNA, 440 nt
Filed under: uncultured bacterium
Lineage: Bacteria
Description: partial 16S ribosomal RNA
Rfam family: Bacterial small subunit ribosomal RNA
Source: RNAcentral
CCUACGGGAGGCAGCAGUGGGGAAUAUUGGACAAUGGGGGAAACCCUGAUCCAGCGACGCCGCGUGAGUGAAGAAGUAUUUCGGUACGUAAAGCUCUAUCAGCAGGAAAGAAAAUGACGGUACCUGACUAAGAAGCCCCGGCUAACUACGUGCCAGCAGCCGCGGUAAUACGUAGGGGGCAAGCGUUAUCCGGGUUUACUGGGUGGAAAGGGAGCGUAGACGGCAGCGCAAGUCUGGAGGGAAAUGCCGGGGCCCAACCCCGGGACUGCUCUGGAAACUGUGAAGCUGGAGUGCAGGAGGGGUAAGCGGAAUUCCUGGUGUAGCGGUGAAAUGCGUAGAUAUCAGGAGGAACACCGGCGGCGAAGGCGGCUUACUGGACUGUAACUGACGUUGAGGCUCGAAGGCGUGGGGAGCAAACAGGAUUAGAUACCCCGGUAGUC